Molecule: non-coding RNA, 46 nt
Organism: Manacus vitellinus (golden-collared manakin)
Lineage: Eukaryota; Metazoa; Chordata; Aves; Passeriformes; Pipridae
Source: Rfam
GGAAAGGUUUUACUGAAAACCACUCUAAUUUCUUAGAAAAGUAAAG